UCUGCUCAAUGUAAUAUUAUAAAUAGCUGCAUUUUUUUGUACUAAGGUAGCGUAAUAACUUGCCUUCUAAUUAAAGGAUAGAAUGAAUGAGAAUCCAAAAAAGAAGCUGUCUCUACAUAAUUAAUAUAAAUUAAUCUACUAGUGAAAAAGCUAGUAUCCUAUAAAAAGACAAGAAGACCCUGUUGAGCUUUUUCUAAAUAUUUUUAGAUUUUGUUGGGGCAACAUAAAUUAUAUAAACCAAUUUACAUUCAUUCGAAUAACAUCAUUUAUUGUAUAUUAUUAAAUACCCUCUUAUAAAGUUACCACAGGGGUAACAGGCUUAUUUUCUUUUAGAGUUCAAAUCAACAAGAAAGUUUGGCACCUCGAUGUUGGCUUAAAGUAUCAUCUAAAUGCAACAGUUU
RNAcentral lists this ribosomal RNA (401 nucleotides) under Pulvinomyzostomum pulvinar. Its description in RNAcentral is "partial 16S ribosomal RNA". It matches the Rfam family "Bacterial large subunit ribosomal RNA", at positions 1858 to 2564 of the family's 2925-position model. Lineage: Eukaryota; Metazoa; Annelida; Myzostomida; Pulvinomyzostomidae. The record is from RNAcentral.